This 546-nucleotide long non-coding RNA is filed under the name Homo sapiens (human). RNAcentral's name for it is "HSALNT0373787". The record is from RNAcentral. Lineage: Eukaryota; Metazoa; Chordata; Mammalia; Primates; Hominidae.
AGCAUCUCAAUGAGAGGAUUGGUAUUAAUUUCCUCAUCAUUUGAUUGACUGAUAAUCAGCUUUCAUCAUUUCAUAGACCCAGACAAGUUGGCAACCAGUGCACAGUGAACCUGCUUCACACAUGCUGAUUUGGCCUUUUAUAGAGGAGAAAAUAUAUGAACCCAGCAGCCACCCCAAAAAUUGUCUGCUGAAACAUCAUGUUUCCAGAUAAAAGAAUCAUUUAAUGACUUGCAAGUAAAUCAAAAUGGAAAGAGGAGAGAAUAUAUGGACAGAAAUAUUUUUACAUUAGCACAAGAAGCUGCAUGGCAGAUUUAGAAAGAAGAGUGAUUUCUCAGCAAAAUACUAGUAUGGGCAACAAGGUGAGAAUAAAAGCUUCAAAAAACUGGCAACUGCUUAUGAAAACUGCUAUGAGUUAUGCAAUAAGAUUCAAAAGGUAUUCUACAUGCAAUAAAAUUUUAAAAUCUCUGAUUGAAGGAGUGUGUUUUUGUGAUAUUUGAGUGAGCUGUCAACAAAGAUGUAAGUACUCUACAGUAACUAAGCAGACAG